RNAcentral lists this ribosomal RNA (460 nucleotides) under uncultured bacterium. Its description in RNAcentral is "partial 16S ribosomal RNA". It matches the Rfam family "Bacterial small subunit ribosomal RNA", at positions 338 to 795 of the family's 1533-position model. The record is from RNAcentral.
CCUACGUGAGGCAGCAGUGAGGAAUAUUGGUCAAUGGGCGGAAGCCUGAACCAGCCAAGUAGCGUGCAGGAUGACGGCCCUACGGGUUGUAAACUGCUUUUAUACGGGAAUAACGCGCCUUACGUGUAGGGCUUUGCAUGUACCUUAUGAAUAAGGACCGGCUAAUUCCUUGCCAGCAGCCGCGGUAAUACGGAGGGUCCGGGCGUUAUCCGGAUUUAUUUGGUUUAAAGGGAGCGUAGGCCGCAUGUCAAGCGUGCUGUGAAAUGUUCGGGCUCAACCCGGGCCUUGCAGCGCGAACUGGCGUGCUUGAGUCAGCGGAAAGCAGGCGGAAUUCGUCGUGUAGCGGUGAAAUGAUUAGAUAUGACGAAGAACCCCGAUUGCGAAGGCAGCUUGCUGCAGCGGAACUGACGCUGAUGCUCGAAAGCGCGGGUAUCGAACAGGAUUAGAUACCCGAGUAGUC